Molecule: long non-coding RNA, 295 nt
Organism: Eriocheir sinensis (Chinese mitten crab)
Lineage: Eukaryota; Metazoa; Arthropoda; Malacostraca; Decapoda; Varunidae
Exons: 3
Source: RefSeq, a predicted model, not a curated record
GUUCUAAGGUAGUCGUGUGUUAAAGUUCCAACACUAUGAUGACGUCACGGCCUCCAUCUUCCCUGUCGUCUGGGAAGGCUGCCGAGACAGGGAUAUAUUUUCAUUGUUUUUCAGGUUAUUAUAAAGUGCCAGGAAGCGCCAUGCUGUGGGAAGGAUGAUGCAAGUGAAGGCCACGAGAGAGAAGUGGAGAGAGGACCAGGGAAUGAAUGAUCCAAUGUCUUGCUGCCCCACUCACUGAGACAAGAGACAAGAGAAGGAAGAGGAAGAAAAAGAAGAUGAUGAAGAGGAAGAGGAG